RNAcentral lists this long non-coding RNA (2058 nucleotides) under Cinara cedri. Lineage: Eukaryota; Metazoa; Arthropoda; Insecta; Hemiptera; Aphididae. The record is from RNAcentral.
AAAACAAAAUGUUAUUGGGAACCAAUCCAAUAGUCGCCAAACAAAUUAUGAUAAACGUAUUGGACACGAGAACUUAAGAUAUACAGAAUAGAGGCGUGAAGAGCUGCAUCAAAACAAUCGGUUGAUGGAAUACGAGAAGAAGAAUAAGAAGACAUAAUCGUUACAUGAGAAUGAAUAGGCUGUAUUGAUUUUUUGAAAAAUCACUUUUCAAUAGAUGGUAAAUAGAUAAAUAGAAAAACCUAACCAAAUAUUUUUUUUUAAACUCAAUACGGAAUUUACGUCUUAAUUUUGCAACAAGAAAUUCAAAAUGGAAUGACUAAAUAGUUAAAAUAAAUCUUUUUUUUUAUAUAUAUAAUCUCAAUAGAAUCUUUUUAAAGUGAAUUAUUAUUUGAGAGAGAAAAUUUACUAUAUCAACAAUGCAAUAACCGACAGAAUAAUAUUGAAAAAUCACUACAAAAAAGUUCAAUCUCAAUACAGUAAUUUUUCAGAAACGGUUCAAAUGAAUGCGGAAAAUGUUGUCUAUAGAGCUUGCACUUUUAAAAAAUUCUUCCGGGAGAAUUUCAAAAUGUUUCCUCAGAACAAUUUUAAAACAAUGUCCCCGAACUUUUUCAUUCUCGGGUGACGUAUUAUUAAUAAUAUUCUUUACGCCAAUAACGGAAAAUACAAUGAAGAAUGUUUUUUUCAUAGCGUGUGGGCAUCGAACAUAUUAUUUUACAAAAGUAAUAUCACGAACCGAAACGACGACAUUAUCGAUCGUCUGUAUAAUACGUAUGUUAAGUUCAUAACCUAAGUCCCUAUUUAUAUUAUACGUUUAUAACAUGUAACAUGUCCGUUCACGUUGUUGUCGAAGACGGUCCUAAAACGUUUUUUAUUGUGUUUAAUUGACGGAGGGGAAGAGAAAAAACGAGCGUACAGUCAUCACGGACAUCACUCGUACCGCAAGCCAGAUGCCGAAUUUCCUCAUUCUACGGUGAAAACACUUGACCACGUAACGGCCGCGGCGGUGUUCGAGUGCCCUCGGUAAAUUAAUACCGCAGCGUAAAAAUACACCGUCCCCGGAAAUUAUUAUACGGAACUUUACACUGUUCGCGGGUCAACACACCGCGAUCACAAACUCUUACAAGUCGUAAAAACAAAUCGAAAAAAAAAUAUAUUCUAGACUGCAGUGUGUAUAUUUUAUACGGGCGUAGGUAUUUAUUUUUAUGGUUUCGCCGGGUCGUGUCGCAGUAUAGUGAGAAAAUAACGCGAUUACUAGGUAGGCAGGUACAUUUUACCCGCGUUAUGAUAUUAUUUUCAAAACGGAAUACGAGCGUAAAAACGCACGCGGUUAAGAAGUACGGACAAGUAUAAUAAUAAUUCGCGGGAGAGAUUCGCGAAGCCACUGUAAUGUUAUAAUAAUACGCCCAUUUUAUGUCCCCGGAGAGUGAACUUCGGAAGAUUAAACUCGUUUAACGCGUGGUAUAGGUAAAUUUUGUGCUGCAGGCAAUAAUAAAAAAAUAUACAAUAAAGUAUAAUAGUUCUUUUGAAACGACGUGGAAAACGUUCAUAGAAACCAAAAGCCACAACCGGCCGCGGCUGGCGUUCGAAAAAUAUGCAAAAAAUUACACCUACUGUACAGGGCGUUAUAAAUUACAUGUUACUGCAGUUAUGAUACAGUCAGUAUACUGGGCAUUCUUUCCGUACUCUCAAAACUCGCAUAAAAUAUCGUAUGCAUAAUAUUUUGUCCAUCAGCGACACGUCCAAUUGCAGUUCUUCUUCGACGAUUUGUUUCGUCGUAUAUAAUUGCGGUAUACAUUUACUUACCGAUAAUUUAUAUUAUUUAGUCACCGAUUGCCAUACGACUCUGUGAGCACUCGGUCGAUGACAAAAAACAAAAAAAAAAAAAAAUCGUAAACAAAAUGAGUCGUUUCAGUCAUAAUAGCCAAUACGGUAAACAUUACUCAACGCUACGUUUUUGUUCUUAUUCAGUGUAUUUAUAUAUAAUGCACGUAUAUAUAUAUAUAUAUUGUAAUAAGAUCGAUCGUUUGGUAUUUUGUUUGCUGUUCGGUUAUUCGUUCG